AUUGAACGCUGGCGGCAUGCUUUACACAUGCAAGUCGAACGGUAACAGCACUUCGGUGGCUGACGAGUGGCGAACGGGUGAGUAAUACAUCGGAACGUGCCUAGUAGUGGGGGAUAACUACUCGAAAGAGUAGCUAAUACCGCAUGAGAUCUAAGGAUGAAAGCAGGGGACCUUCGGGCCUUGCGCUACUAGAGCGGCUGAUGGCAGAUUAGGUAGUUGGUGGGAUAAAAGCUUACCAAGCCGACGAUCUGUAGCUGGUCUGAGAGGACGACCAGCCACACUGGGACUGAGACACGGCCCAGACUCCUACGGGAGGCAGCAGUGGGGAAUUUUGGAUAAUGGGCGCAAGCCUGAUCCAGCAAUGCCGCGUGCAGGAUGAAGGCCUUCGGGUUGUAAACUGCUUUUGUACGGAACGAAAAGCCCUCUUCUAAUACAGGAGGGUCAUGACGGUACCGUAAGAAUAAGCACCGGCUAACUACGUG
Molecule: ribosomal RNA, 482 nt
Filed under: uncultured bacterium
Lineage: Bacteria
Description: partial 16S ribosomal RNA
Rfam family: Bacterial small subunit ribosomal RNA
Source: RNAcentral